RNAcentral lists this small RNA (544 nucleotides) under Plasmodium praefalciparum (nom. ined.). RNAcentral's name for it is "Plasmodium sp. gorilla clade G1 ncRNA". The record is from RNAcentral. Lineage: Eukaryota; Apicomplexa; Aconoidasida; Haemosporida; Plasmodiidae.
UACAUGAAUAAAUAUUUUUUAAAAAGUCUUAAAUUCAUAAUUAAAUGUGUGUUACAUGAAUAAAAAAUUAACAAUUAGUCUUAAAUUCAUAAUUAAAUGUGUUACAUGAAUAAAUAUUUUUUUAAUUAGACUUAAAUUCAUAAUUAAAUGUGUUACAUGAAUAAAUAUUUUUUAAUUAGACUUAAAUAUAUAAAAUUAAUGAUUACAUGAAUAAAUAUUUUUUAAUAAGACUUAAAUAUAUAAAAUUAAUGAUUACAUGAAUAAAUAUUUUUUUAAUAAGACUUAAAUAUAUAAUUAAUUGUUACAUGAACGAAUAUGUGCAGUUAUACAAAUAAACAUAACGCUAAAUAAUAUUAAUAAUGAUAUAUUCAAGAUUAAAUAACGAUAUGGCGGAGGAAUAAUGACAAGACAAAUAAGUAAUAGUAUAUAUUAGUAUAUAUAUGUUUGAAGAUGGAUAACGAAAUAUUGAAGAAUGUUGGAUUUAUUGAAGAAAUGAAAAUCUAUGAAGAAAUAUAUUUGUGUAUUAACCUUGGAAUAUAAUAUA